This 253-nucleotide ribosomal RNA is filed under the name uncultured bacterium. Its description in RNAcentral is "partial 16S ribosomal RNA". It matches the Rfam family "Bacterial small subunit ribosomal RNA", at positions 524 to 776 of the family's 1533-position model. The record is from RNAcentral.
UACGGGGGGGGCAAGCGUUGUUCGGAAUUACUGGGCGUAAAGGGCUCGUAGGCGGCCAACUAAGUCAGACGUGAAAUCCCUCGGCUUAACCGGGGAACUGCGUCUGAUACUGGAUGGCUUGAAUCCGGGAGAGGGAUGCGGAAUUCCAGGUGUAGCGGUGAAAUGCGUAGAUAUCUGGAGGAACACCGGUAGCGAAGGCGGCAUCCUGGACCGGCAUUGACGCUGAGGAGCGAAAGCCAGGGGAGCAAACGGG